RNAcentral lists this long non-coding RNA (596 nucleotides) under Callithrix jacchus (white-tufted-ear marmoset). Its description in RNAcentral is "lncRNA (ENSCJAG00000070094.1)". Lineage: Eukaryota; Metazoa; Chordata; Mammalia; Primates; Cebidae. The record is from RNAcentral.
GCUAAAGAAGCUUUACUUUCUCUUUUCUUAUUUUAAGGAAACAGAAUCAAGCGUGCUGAUGCUUCUUAAAUGCCUCAAUCAAGUAGCCAUGACCAGAAAGGCCCAUUCAUCCUUUUACACCUUCAACCGCAGCCUUCUUCAGAGGAGAUUUCUAAGGUAGCAGAUGGACCAUUCAAAGACUUAGAAAAUGAGGCCAAACAGAUGAAUAAAUGGUGAGAAUGACAUGCCGUUGCUCCUCCUUCACCUUCUGCCACGAUUGUGAGGCCUCCCCAGCCAUGUGGAACUGUAAGUCAAUUAAACCUAUUUUUCUUUAUAAAUUACCCAGUCUUGGAUAUUUCUUCGUAGCAGUAUGAAUAUGGACUAAUACGGGGGCAAUCCUUACAUAGGGGGGACACCGCUUCAUGUCCACAUGUGACUGAGGCAACGGGCCACACCGGCUUCAGCCACCAAGGCAGGCAUGAAGCACAAGAGGCAUCCCGAGGCUUUCCUGGGCAGUGUUUAUUUGCCCACAAAAGGAUGGUGGAAUCUUGCACCAUGUGGUCUAUCAACAGAUAAUAAGAUGAAAUAUUUAGCUUGUGAACCUUGCCUUCAAUAGU